UACGUAGGGCGCAAGCGUUGUCCGGAAUUAUUGGGCGUAAAGAGCUCGUAGGCGGCCAGUUGCGUCUGCUGUGAAAUCCCGGGGCUCAACCCCGGGCGUGCAGUGGAUACGGGCUGGCUAGAGGCAGGCAGGGGAGAACGGAAUUCCCGGUGUAGCGGUGAAAUGCGCAGAUAUCGGGAGGAACACCGGUGGCGAAGGCGGUUCUCUGGGCCUAUACUGACGCUGAGGAGCGAAAGCGUGGGGAGCGAACAGG
RNAcentral lists this ribosomal RNA (253 nucleotides) under uncultured bacterium. RNAcentral describes it as "partial 16S ribosomal RNA". It matches the Rfam family "Bacterial small subunit ribosomal RNA", at positions 524 to 776 of the family's 1533-position model. The record is from RNAcentral.